ACGCGAAAGUCCCCUUCGGGGGACGAGUAGAGUGGCGUCCGGGUGAGUAACACGUGAGUAAUUUGCCUUCGGGUGGGGAAUAACAGCCGGAAACGGCUGCUAAUACCGCAUGAUGCAGCGGCACCUCAUGGUGACAGUUGUUAAAGAGGGGGAUCCUUCGGGACCUCUCGCCUGAAGAGAAGCUCGCGGCAGAUUAGCUAGUUGGUAGGGUAACGGCCUACCAAGGCAACGAUCUGUAGCCGGCCUGAGAGGGCGGUCGGCCACACUGACACUGACACACGGGUCAGACUCCUACGGGAGGCAGCAGUCGGGAAUUUUGGGCAAUGGGCGAAAGCCUGACCCAGCAACGCCGCGUGAAGGAUGAAGUUUUUCGGAAUGUAAACUUCACAAGAAUGGGAAGAAUAAGUCGGGGUUAAUACCCCCGAUGAUGACGGUACCAUUUGUAAGCUCCGGCUAACUCCGUGCCAGCAGCCGCGGUAAUACGGGGGGAGCAAGCGUUGUUCGGAUUUACUGGGCGUAAAGGGCGCGUAGGCGGCGCAACAAGUCACUUGUGAAAUCUCCGGGCUUAACCCGGAGCGGUCAAGUGAUACUGUCGUGCUAGAGUGCGGAAGGGGCAACUGGAAUUCUCGGUGUAGCGGUGAAAUGCGUAGAUAUCGAGAGGAACACCUGCGGC
This 673-nucleotide ribosomal RNA is filed under the name uncultured bacterium. RNAcentral describes it as "bacterial SSU rRNA". It matches the Rfam family "Bacterial small subunit ribosomal RNA", at positions 66 to 716 of the family's 1533-position model. The record is from RNAcentral.